UCAGGUUUGCGCAUUACUUUCUGAUCAGUUUCUGCAUGCUAUUCCAUAGUGUGGUCUUUAGUGAGAAAAACAGUUUGGAGCUGAGAACUCUUGUUUUGGCAUCUGGUGACUCAGGCCUAAACUCAUCUGUCUUUCAUAUUCCCUCAUUUGCAGUCUGUUUUCUUUCUGCCUGGCUAGUGAACUUUCUGCUCUGUGAAAGAAGUUGUGAGUUAUUUUCCUCUGGUAAAUGAAGCUCCAGGCGUGGAUCCCUUGCUGCUGCCACAGUGCAAAGGAUAAAAAAAACUGUCUUCUUGGGCUUCACUGACUGCAAAAAUAGAAGAUAUUCUCCUGAGUGAUGACUGGUUUUCAUCCCAUCAUGUCCUGAGCUUCCACAUCCCUCUGCUCAAAGAAAUGCCAGUUCCUCCAACCACUUGUGUUUUGCUGGAUACCUGUCAACUCUUCACAUUCAGAGACCUUGGAAAAGUAACCAACUUUGAAGAUUUUGUAGCCGGCUUUUUGUCUGAAUGGGAAACUGCUGAGUUUCAUCUCAUCCCUGUUGUGACUAAUUCCAGGUAUUUAUUAAGCAUUCAAUAUUGUAUGAGCCAAAGGAGAUUAUGAGAUAGGCUGUUUCUUGUCUUUAAAGAACACACAAAA
RNAcentral lists this long non-coding RNA (633 nucleotides) under Coturnix japonica (Japanese quail). RNAcentral's name for it is "lncRNA (ENSCJPG00005012458.1)". Lineage: Eukaryota; Metazoa; Chordata; Aves; Galliformes; Phasianidae. The record is from RNAcentral.